Molecule: ribosomal RNA, 223 nt
Filed under: uncultured bacterium
Lineage: Bacteria
Description: partial 16S ribosomal RNA
Rfam family: Bacterial small subunit ribosomal RNA
Source: RNAcentral
UAACGCGUGGGUGACGUACCUAUCGGUGGGGAAUAACUGCCCGAAAGGGUGGCUAAUACCGCAUACGUCCACUGCUGCAUGGCAGUGGGGAAAAGUCGCAAGACUGCCGAUGGAGCGGCCCGCGUUCGAUUAGCUAGUUGGUGGGGUAACGGCCUACCAAGGCGACGAUCGAUAGCUGGUCUCAGAGGAUGAUCAGCCAGACUGGGACUGAGACACGGCCCAG